GACGAACCGUGCGAACGUUGUUCGGAAUCACUGGGCAUAAAGGGCGCGUAGGCGGCUUGUCAAGUCAGGGGUGAAAUCCGGCAGCUUAACUGUCGAAGUGCCUUUGAUACUGACGAGCUCGAGGGAGGUAGGGGUCGCUGGAACUUCCGGUGGAGCGGUGAAAUGCGUUGAUAUCGGAAGGAACGCCGGUGGCGAAAGCGAGCGACUGGAUCUCUUCUGACGCUGAGGCGCGAAAGCUAGGGGAGCAAACGGG
RNAcentral lists this ribosomal RNA (253 nucleotides) under uncultured bacterium. RNAcentral describes it as "partial 16S ribosomal RNA". It matches the Rfam family "Bacterial small subunit ribosomal RNA", at positions 524 to 776 of the family's 1533-position model. The record is from RNAcentral.